UCAGAGUUUGAUCCUGGCUCAGGACGAACGCUGGCGGCGUGCCUAAUACAUGCAAGUCGAGCGGAGUUGAUGAGGUGCUUGCACCUCUGAUACUUAGCGGCGGACGGGUGAGUAACACGUGGGUAACCUGCCUGUAAGACUGGGAUAACAUUCGGAAACGAAUGCUAAUACCGGAUACGCGAUUUGGUCGCAUGACCGAAUCGGGAAAGAUGGAGCAAUCUAUCACUUACAGAUGGACCCGCGGCGCAUUAGCUAGUUGGUGAGGUAACGGCUCACCAAGGCGACGAUGCGUAGCCGACCUGAGAGGGUGAUCGGCCACACUGGGACUGAGACACGGCCCAGACUCCUACGGGAGGCAGCAGUAGGGAAUCUUCCGCAAUGGACGAAAGUCUGACGGAGCAACGCCGCGUGAGUGAUGAAGGUUUUCGGAUCGUAAAGCUCUGUUGCCAGGGAAGAAUGCUUGGGAGAGUAACUGCUCUCAAGGUGACGGUACCUGAGAAGAAAGCCCCGGCUAACUACGUGCCAGCAGCCGCGGUAAUACGUAGGGGGCAAGCGUUGUCCGGAAUUAUUG
RNAcentral lists this ribosomal RNA (571 nucleotides) under Paenibacillus sp. ACT4GBDAAI. RNAcentral describes it as "bacterial SSU rRNA". It matches the Rfam family "Bacterial small subunit ribosomal RNA", at positions 1 to 556 of the family's 1533-position model. Lineage: Bacteria; Bacillati; Bacillota; Bacilli; Caryophanales; Paenibacillaceae. The record is from RNAcentral.